GGGCUAUCAGACGGUCCAGAGAGGUCCGGCGGGGGCUAUCAGACGGUCCAGAGAGGUCCGGCGGGGCCAUCAGACGGUCCAGAGAGGUCUGAGGGUAUCAGACGGUCCAGAGAGGUCUGAGGGGUAUCAGACGGUCCAGAGAGGUCCGGCGGGGCUAUCAGACGGUCCAGAGAGGUCCGGAGGGGGUAUCAGACGGUCCAGAGAGGUCCGGAGGGGGUAUCAGACGGUCCAGAGAGGUCCGGAGGGGGUAUCAGACGGUCCAGAGAGGUCCGGAGGGGGUAUCAGACGGUCCAGAGAGGUCUGAGGGUAUCAGACAGGGAAGAGCUGUGUUUUGGGCUGCUCAGCCCUCAGACAGAGAACUCCACACCACUACGGCGUGUACGUG
Non-coding RNA from Salmo salar (Atlantic salmon), 385 nucleotides. NCBI's taxonomy places the organism in Eukaryota, Metazoa, Chordata, Actinopteri, Salmoniformes, Salmonidae. The record is from RefSeq and is a predicted model, not a curated record.